UGAUGUUAUAGUGUCCAUGAAUGUACCUGAGUAAGGUAGGCCUUUCGCUGUAUUUCUUAAAACAUGCAUCAGUUUAGCUCUGUAGGAUUGUCAUUACGUAUGUGAUAGUAUACUUAAUCAUGUCAUAGUAUACUUAAUCACCAUAAUACCUUAGUUGUGAGACAGAAAUUUAACGUGGACAGAAUGUAAGGCCUACAUACAGUGUAUGUACAUCGACCUGCCACAUAUAUACCGGUACAUAUACAGAUUCUGUAAGACGGGUCGGAAGUUGGAGGUUACCCAGAAGAGAACCAUGACAGUUUGGCCAUUCCAGCCCAGACGGGAAAUGCCGAGAUGUUGCGAUUGAGAUUUGGCGGAAAAGGCCGAAUGUUGUACUCCAGAGAGGACAGAGGUUCGGCGGGGUCGAACAUGUCAGACAAAACAAACUCGUCCUAGUUUGUGGGCAGACUGUGCAAGUACGCGCACAAGGUGUGAAGAUGAUGAUCUGCCGUGACGUCUGCCAUGCCCAGCGACAGUUUUCGCUGCCUGACUCCUGAGAUAUCAUCCAUAUCUGCAGUGCAUCGCAUCACAAGUUACUGCCUCAACUUCUUGAAACUGGAUUGAGGUUUUUGUGCUUGCCGGAGACCACCUAUAACACAACAUCCAGCCCAGAGCACAAGACCGGGGCAGACCAUUGUGCUGAGCGAAAGAAAAAAAAAGAAUUGUCAAGAUUGUUCAACAGUUUUAAAGUUUAAACUCCGGUCGAAACUCGAGUAUCACGUUAACAAGGAGUAAGCAGAUCGAGGGGUAGAGGCAGAUUUGCUGCAUUAGUCGUCGUCAGGAGAUUUUUUUCCGCAACCAAGAAUGACAGAAACUGAAACCCCAGGCAUGUUCCCCAAACAGGAAAGUAGUCGCCAU
This is a long non-coding RNA of Liolophura sinensis, 897 nucleotides long. RefSeq lists it as uncharacterized. The transcript is spliced from 3 exons. NCBI's taxonomy places the organism in Eukaryota, Metazoa, Mollusca, Polyplacophora, Chitonida, Chitonidae. The record is from RefSeq and is a predicted model, not a curated record.